CAGCCGCCGCGGGAAUACGAAGGGUGCAAGCGUUACUCGGAAUUACUGGGCGUAAAGCGUGUGUAGGUGGUUGUUUAAGCCUGUCGUGAAAGCCCUGGGCUCAACCUGGGAAUUGCGAUGGAUACUGGGCGACUAGAGUGCGGUAGAGGAUAGUGGAAUUUCCGGUGUAGCAGUGAAAUGCGUAGAGAUCGGAAGGAACAUCUGUGGCGAAGGCGACUAUCUGGGCCAACACUGACACUGAGGCACGAAAGCGUGGGGAGCAAACAGGAUUAGAUACCCCAGUAGUCCCUGUCUCUUAUAC
Molecule: ribosomal RNA, 301 nt
Filed under: uncultured bacterium
Lineage: Bacteria
Description: partial 16S ribosomal RNA
Rfam family: Bacterial small subunit ribosomal RNA
Source: RNAcentral